UACGGAGGUGGCAAGCGUUGUUCGGAAUCACUGGGCGUAAAGGGCGUGUAGGCGGUCAGGUAAGUGGGAUGUGAAAUGCCCCGGCUCACCCGGGGACCGGCAUCCCAUACUGCUUGGCUUGAGUACGGGAGAGGAUGUGGGAAUUCCUGGUGUAGCGGUGAAAUGCGUAGAUAUCAGGAGGAACACCGGUGGCGAAGGCGCACAUCUGGCCCGAUACUGACGCUGAGGCGCGAAAGCUAGGGGAGCAAACGGG
Molecule: ribosomal RNA, 253 nt
Filed under: uncultured bacterium
Lineage: Bacteria
Description: partial 16S ribosomal RNA
Rfam family: Bacterial small subunit ribosomal RNA
Source: RNAcentral